GUGAGGAAUAUUGGUCAAUGGGCGCAAGCCUGAACCAGUCAUGCCGCGUGCAGGAAGAAGUUCCUAUGGGAUGUAAACUGCUUUUGUAUAGGGAUAAAGAUGUUUCUGCGGAAAUAUUUGAAGGUACUAUACGAAUAAGGAUCGGCUAACUCCGUGCCAGCAGCCGCGGUAAUACGGAGGAUUCGAGCGUUAUCCGGAUUUAUUGGGUUUAAAGGGUGCGUAGGCGGAUGAAUAAGUCAGAGGUGAAAUGCAUAUGCUCAACAUAUGAAUUGCCUUUGAAACUGUUCGACUAGGAUACAAAUGGAGCAGGCGGAAUGAACUGUGUAGAGGUGACAUUCAUAGAUAUAGUUCAGAACAUCGAUCGCGAAGGCAGCUUGCUAAGAUGUGAUUGACGCUGAGGCACGAAAGCGAGGGGAGCGAACAGGAUUAGAUACCCGAGUAGUCC
This 445-nucleotide ribosomal RNA is filed under the name uncultured bacterium. RNAcentral's name for it is "partial 16S ribosomal RNA". It matches the Rfam family "Bacterial small subunit ribosomal RNA", at positions 354 to 796 of the family's 1533-position model. The record is from RNAcentral.